This 333-nucleotide unclassified non-coding RNA is filed under the name soil metagenome. RNAcentral's name for it is "partial contains 5.8S ribosomal RNA, internal transcribed spacer 2, and large subunit ribosomal RNA". The stretch from base 5 to 121 matches the Rfam family "5.8S ribosomal RNA", at positions 38 to 154 of the family's 154-position model. The record is from RNAcentral.
GAUGGAAGAACGUAGCGAAAUGCGAUAAGUAAUGUGAAUUGCAGAAUUCAGUGAAUCAUCGAAUCUUUGAACGCACAUUGCGCCCCCUGGUAUUCCGGGGGGCAUGCCUGUUCGAGCGUCAUUUCACCACUCAAGCCUCGCUUGGUAUUGGGCGACGCGGUCCGCCGCGCGCCUCAAAUCGACCGGCUGGGUCUUCCGUCCCCUCAGCGUUGUGGAAACUAUUCGCUAAAGGGUGCCGCGGGAGGUCACGCCGCAAAACAACCCCAUUUCUAAGGUUGACCUCGGAUCAGGUAGGGAUACCCGCUGAACUUAAGCAUAUCAAUAAGCGGAGGA